AUAUCACUAAGCGGAGGAAAAGAAACUAACUAGGAUGCCUUAGUAACGGCGAGUGAAGAGGCCAAAGCCCAAGAUGGUAAUCUCCGUGCAUCGCGCGGCGAAUUGUAAUCUAGAGAGGCGAAGCUCAAGAGGAGGUGGCACAGAAGUACCCUGGAACGGGUCGCCAAAGAGGGUGACAGCCCCGUACGUGGUGCCGCCGCCUAACGAGCUAGUCUUCAAAGAGUCGGGUUGUUUUGUAUUGCAGCCCUAAGCGGGAGAUAAACUUCUUCUAAGGCUAAAUAUAUGUGGGAGACCGAUAGCGCACAAGUA
This 309-nucleotide ribosomal RNA is filed under the name uncultured eukaryote. Its description in RNAcentral is "partial large subunit ribosomal RNA". It matches the Rfam family "Eukaryotic large subunit ribosomal RNA", at positions 40 to 350 of the family's 3401-position model. The record is from RNAcentral.